AAAAAAAAAGGAAGAAGAAGAAGCCGAUUUGCAAAAAGUUAUUUUAUCUCCCUAAACUUUAAAUUGUGGAGUAAUUUAACUCCUAAGAUCUCAAUAUAUGCUAUGCGCCAUUAAGGAGUGAAGAUGAUUAAUUAUGAUUACAUAAUAAAAAUGCAACGGUUGAGUCUCUUACCCUUCAAUCUUCAAGAUGCUGAGCAAGACUGUACCCUUCAAUCUCGCUCAAAGUUUAAGCACAAAAUCUAGCUAAAACCCAUAAUCAAAUAAAACCCCAUCCACACCAACGACUCAAUAGUAAGCGGCCACCCAUAAAUCAUAAAGCCAAACCUUUAAUAAUAAUAAUAAGAAGAAGAAUUAAAAAAAAAUUAAAA
Molecule: unclassified non-coding RNA, 368 nt
Filed under: Hevea brasiliensis (rubber tree)
Lineage: Eukaryota; Viridiplantae; Streptophyta; Magnoliopsida; Malpighiales; Euphorbiaceae
Source: RNAcentral